This 1224-nucleotide ribosomal RNA is filed under the name metagenome. RNAcentral's name for it is "bacterial LSU rRNA". It matches the Rfam family "Bacterial large subunit ribosomal RNA", at positions 1718 to 2925 of the family's 2925-position model. The record is from RNAcentral.
AAAAUUGACACCGUAACUUCGGGAGAAGGUGUGCCGCUGGCGGUUAGUGACUUCGCGUCACGAAGCUGUCGGUGGUCGCAGUGAAAUGGCGGUUGUGACUGUUUACUAAAAACACAGGACUCUGCGAAGUCGUAAGACGACGUAUAGGGUCUGAUGCCUGCCCGGUGCUGGAAGGUUAAGGGGAUAUGUCAGCGCAAGCGAAGCAUUGAACCGAAGCCCCAGUAAACGGCGGCCGUAACAAUAACGGUCCUAAGGUAGCGAAAUUCCUUGUCGGGUAAGUUCCGACCUGCACGAGGGCAUAACAACAUCCGCACUGUCUCGACCAGGGACUCAGCGAAAUUACAUUGGGGGUGAAGAUGCCCUCUACCCGCGGAAAGACGGAAAGACCCCAUGAACCUUUACUGCAACUUGGCAGUGAUUUUCGGGUUGUUCUGCGUAGGAUAGGUGGGAGGCUUUGAAGCCGGGCUUCCGGGUUCGGCAGAGCCAACGUUGAAAUACCACCCUGAAUAAUCUGGGAAUCUAACCUGCGCCCAUGAUCUGGGCGAGGGACACUGCCUGGUGGGCAGUUUGACUGGGGCGGUCGCCUCCUAAAUUGUAACGGAGGCGUGCGACGGUUCCCUCAGGCUGAUUGGAAACCAGCCGUAGAGUGCAAACGCAUAAGGGAGCUUUACUGCGAGACUGACAAGUCGAACAGUUGCGAAAGCAGGUGUUAGUGAUCCGGUGGUACCACAUGGAAGGGCCAUCGCUCAUCGGAUAAAAGGUACUCUGGGGAUAACAGGCUGAUCGCGCCUGAGAGUUCACAUCGGCGGCGCGGUUUGGCACCUCGAUGUCGGCUCAUCGCAUCCUGGGGCUGGAGCAGGUCCCAAGGGUUUGGCUGUUCGCCAAUUAAAGCGGUACGCGAGCUGGGUUUAAAACGUCGUGAGACAGUUUGGUCCCUAUCUUCCGUGGGCGCAGGACACUUGAGAGGAGCUAUCCAUAGUACGAGAGGACCUGGAUGGACGAACCUCUGGUGCUCCGGUUGUCACGCCAGUGGCAUAGCCGGGUAGCCAUGUUCGGAACAGAUAACCGCUGAAGGCAUAUAAGCGGGAAGCUGGCCUCAAGACUAGGUGUCCCUGACGCAAGUCACUAAAGGCCCCUCGAAGACUACGAGGUUGACAGGCUCGGUGUGGAAGCGCUGCGAGGCGUGGAGCUAACGAGUACUAAUAGGCCGUGCGACUUGACCUC